GUUCCGUAGGUGAGCCUGCGGAAGGAUCAUUAUUGUAUAACCGAGGUGCGAGGGCUGUCGCUGACCCGAAAGGUCGUGCACGCCCGAGUGCCCUCACACACAUCCAUCUCACCCCUAUGUGCACCACCGCGUGGGUCCCCCUUUGGCUUGUUCGGAGGGGGGCUUACGUUUUCACACAAACUUUGUAUGCAGUGUAGAAUGUAUUUUUUGUUUUUGCGAUCACGCAAUCAAUACAACUUUCAACAACGGAUCUCUUGGCUCUC
RNAcentral lists this unclassified non-coding RNA (263 nucleotides) under plant metagenome. RNAcentral's name for it is "partial contains small subunit ribosomal RNA, internal transcribed spacer 1, and 5.8S ribosomal RNA". The record is from RNAcentral.